UAAAAACAAGGGGGGGGAACGUUUUCGGAAUCUGGCGUAAAGGCUCGUAGCGGCCACUAAGUCACACGUGAAAUCCCUUAAAACAACGGGGAAUGCGUGUGAGAUGGAGGCUUGCUUUGGGAAAGGAAUGCGGAAUUCCAGGUGUAGCGGUGAAAUGCGUAGAUAUCUGGAGGAACACCGGUGGCCUCCGCGGCAUUCUGGACCAACACUGACGCUGAAGAGCGAAAGCCAGGGGGGCAAACGGGAUUAGAUACCCCGGAAGUCCUGGCCCUAAAC
This 276-nucleotide ribosomal RNA is filed under the name uncultured bacterium. RNAcentral describes it as "partial 16S ribosomal RNA". It matches the Rfam family "Bacterial small subunit ribosomal RNA", at positions 520 to 807 of the family's 1533-position model. The record is from RNAcentral.